UUCGGAGUGCUUCUGACUUUCCUUAUACCUACCCCCAUAGACCGCGCAGGGGGAACUUAGUCCCGGUGAAGCGAAUACACGUCACCACCGGAAGCAGUGUCAAAGGGGAAGAGAGGGGGAAAGACAGGAGGAGGGAGUCCUUUG
Molecule: microRNA precursor, 144 nt
Filed under: Chlorocebus sabaeus (green monkey)
Lineage: Eukaryota; Metazoa; Chordata; Mammalia; Primates; Cercopithecidae
Description: miRNA (ENSCSAG00000026034.1)
Source: RNAcentral